CUGGUCUGAAUUCCAACCCCAGUCUUGUAAUGUUAUUUUAGGCGUAUGUGACGCUGCUCACUUGCCAGCCAUGGUCUCAGCAAUUUUUUUGCCCUAUUGGGCAAAAUAGGUUAAAUUACCAGAGAUUCUAACAUGAUCCUUACAUUGUAUUACUGGGCUAUAUCAGCCAAUAUGCUAGAUGUAGUUUGAAGAGAGCAGAGUUGGAGAGAUUUGCACAAUCCAGGGAUUCAGCUGGCCGUUCCAGAUGCUGUCCUUCCGCAUCUCACUUCACACACGAAUCAUCCAGGGCUUCUACUAGUCAGUCCCACCUCCAGAGCAGAGAGCACAGACAUUCCCCACAUCCAUCCUGUUACUCUACCAGACAAGCUGCAGUCAAGAAAUGGAACAGCAAGACCUCUGACCAUUAUGUUCGAGGUGCGGGGCAGACCACCUCAAGCAUGCUCCUGGUUGAGCCGUGGGUGGUGGUUUCCACGUCACCACCACACAGGGCCGUUGCUAAUGCAGCAAAACAAUAUCUGUCAUUUUGAUGGAUGAUUAUUCAAUGACUAUAAUACAUUCUAUUCAUUUUAACUUAAAUAUAUUUUGUCUGUUAUCUCUGUACUAGAUAGCAUUAUUUGACUGAAUGUUUCAUGCAAAUACUGGAGUAGU
This is a long non-coding RNA of Oncorhynchus kisutch (coho salmon), 648 nucleotides long. RefSeq lists it as uncharacterized. Lineage: Eukaryota; Metazoa; Chordata; Actinopteri; Salmoniformes; Salmonidae. The transcript has 3 exons. The record is from RefSeq and is a predicted model, not a curated record.